Molecule: ribosomal RNA, 472 nt
Filed under: uncultured Thermus sp.
Lineage: Bacteria; Thermotogati; Deinococcota; Deinococci; Thermales; Thermaceae
Description: bacterial SSU rRNA
Rfam family: Bacterial small subunit ribosomal RNA
Source: RNAcentral
GACGGGGGCCCGCACAAGCGGUGGAGCAUGUGGUUUAAUUCGAAGCAAACGCCGAAGAACCUUACCAGGUCUUGACAUCCCGAUGCUAUUUCUAGAGAUAGAAAGUUACUUCGGUACAUCGGUGACAGGUGGUGCAUGGUUGUCGUCAGCUCGUGUCGUGAGAUGUUGGGUUAAGUCCCGCAACGAGCGCAACCCCGCCGUUAGUUGCCAGCGGUUCGGCCGGGCACUCUAACGGGACUGCCCGCGAAAGCGGGAGGAAGGAGGGGACGACGUCUGGUCAGCAUGGCCCUUACGGCCUGGGCGACACACGUGCUACAAUGCCCACUACAAAGCGAUGCCACCCGGCAACGGGGAGCUAAUCGCAAAAAAGGUGGGCCCAGUUCGGAUUGGGGUCUGCAACCCGACCCCAUGAAGCCGGAAUCGCUAGUAAUCGCGGAUCAGCCAUGCCGCGGUGAAUACGUUCCCGGGCCUU